Molecule: long non-coding RNA, 1360 nt
Organism: Austrofundulus limnaeus
Lineage: Eukaryota; Metazoa; Chordata; Actinopteri; Cyprinodontiformes; Rivulidae
Exons: 2
Source: RefSeq, a predicted model, not a curated record
ACACGAACAAAAUACACCUUAACCAGAUUUUUAAAAGUUUAUAUUCGCAAAGAAAUGCAGCUUUUGGGAAAUUAAUUGUCACGUGUUGAAGCUUAGUUUUACCGUUUGAAAAUCGCGAGAGCUGGAGGCAUGUGAGCUUACUGUGCUUAGAAAAAACAAACCAUUUUACCUCUGUAUCCAGUUGAAAUCACACAGGUGUAGAGGAUGGAUAAUUAGCUGUCAGUCAGGUGAAAAGCACGUGAGUUCCAAACAGUUCGCCCAGUCAGCCCUGAGCAUUUGACCAUAUCCUGGACAGAGGAUAGCCCUUUGACGAUGGAUCAGACACUUGGUAAAGCGGACAGCCUGACCGCAGAGCUCGCCCGGCCAAUACUGUUAGAUGAAUCGACUGUUCCACGAGGACAACUGCUACCAGUGUGCCAGAAUCAGUUUCUUUCAGCCCCCUUUCAGUCUGUAGAAAACAACUGGAUGAACCAACGUUCUGCAUUCACACAUUUCUCUUCGUGUGCUUUUACACCUCCCGCUACCAGUCACACUUUUCCACAGAUGGGAUCAGACCAAUUCUCAACACAAAUGUCACUGGAUAUCACUUCUGGCCAGGAUGAUCCUGUUGCUUUCCCACCAGUUAACUUUGACAAAGCCAGACCAUCAGAACUGCAGAGUGAUUUAAGUGAUUUGGACUCAUUGUUCAAACAGAGUGAUUCACUUCUUAUUGACCCGACUGAUACAGCAGAAGUAUUUUCAAAACAAGUCAUCCCACUGUCUCAACCUCAAAGUGCAUCUUCAACUUAUGUUGACCAGAUCAGUGGAAAUGAAACCCCUCCAAUACCUGGAGUUUUGUCUAAUUCCCUUGUCCUGAACAAUGACAGACAGUGUGAUAUGGUCAGUCCAUCAUGGCUGGAUUUAUUUUUGGAUGGCAAUAACAACUUGAGCUUUGACGCCGACCUAGAAUCUGCUCUUUCACCAGAAGCAGGAUCUGUUUAACUUUAAAAGUUAUCAUCAUGCAGAUGAAAUGGUUUUUUUCUCUGUCAAGAUGUUGAUGUUAAUGUUUUCUUAAAUUUAGAAAUAAAACAAAGGGACCGAUGCAGUUUUUUGUGCAUGAUUGGUAGUCGGGUGGUGGGUAAGACAUUUUUUGUUAGCCUUUAUUCUGAAGUUCUUGUAAAGCAGAAAUAUUCAAUAAUUAUUUAAAACUUAAUUACAGUUCUUGCAACAAAAUUACACAAGAUUUGCUUUUUUUCUGCUGCCAUGUGUAUUUUACAUAGUUUUUUUGUUCAGCAAGCUGUGAAAGAUUAUUGAUAACUGUUUUGUCUGAUCAUUGGAGAAAAAAUCCUUUAGUUAAUAAACUGCUAAAUAUUCCCUUAAA